Molecule: ribosomal RNA, 253 nt
Filed under: uncultured bacterium
Lineage: Bacteria
Description: partial 16S ribosomal RNA
Rfam family: Bacterial small subunit ribosomal RNA
Source: RNAcentral
UACGGAGGGUGCAAGCGUUAUCCGGAUUCACUGGGCUUAAAGGGUUCGUAGGCGGGCAAGUAAGUCAGUGGUGAAAUCUCCGGGCUUAACCCGGAAACUGCCAUUGAUACUAUUUGUCUUGAAUACUGUGGAGGUCAGCGGAAUAUGUCAUGUAGCGGUGAAAUGCGUAGAUAUGACAUAGAACACCAAUUGCGAAGGCAGCUGGCUAGACAAAUAUUGACACUGAGGCACGAAAGCGUGGGGAUCAAACAUG